RNAcentral lists this transfer RNA (75 nucleotides) under Sphaerodactylus townsendi. Its description in RNAcentral is "tRNA-Ala". It matches the Rfam family "tRNA". Rfam says of the family: Transfer RNA (tRNA) molecules are approximately 80 nucleotides in length. Their secondary structure includes four short double-helical elements and three loops (D, anti-codon, and T loops). Lineage: Eukaryota; Metazoa; Chordata; Lepidosauria; Squamata; Sphaerodactylidae. The record is from RNAcentral.
GGAGAGGUUGUGGCUCAAUGGUAGAGCACCUGCUUCGCCAGCAGAAGGUCGUAGGUUCAAUCCCCAGCAUCUCCA